AACAAACGCUGGCGGCGUGCCUAAUACAUGCAAGUCGAACGGGGAAAGCUUUCGGGUGAGUACUAGUGGCGCACGGGGUGAGUAACGCGUGGAUAAUCUGCCUUCGAGUCGGGGAUAACUAGUCGAAAGAUUAGCUAAUACCGGAUAAGACCACAGGAACUGAGGUUCUAGGGGUUAAAGGUUUUUCGCUUGAAGAUGAGUCCGCGUGAGAUUAGCUAGUUGGUGAGGUAACGGCUCACCAAGGCAACGAUCUCUAACUGGUCUGAGAGGAUGAUCAGUCACACUGGAACUGAGACACGGUCCAGACUCCUACGGGAGGCAGCAGUAGGGAAUAUUGCACAAUGGAGGAAACUCUGAUGCAGCGACGCCGCGUGAGUGAUGAAGGCCUUCGGGUCGUAAAGGCUCUGUCGCAGGGGAAUAAC
RNAcentral lists this ribosomal RNA (422 nucleotides) under uncultured bacterium. RNAcentral describes it as "bacterial SSU rRNA". It matches the Rfam family "Bacterial small subunit ribosomal RNA", at positions 29 to 450 of the family's 1533-position model. The record is from RNAcentral.